This 2129-nucleotide unclassified non-coding RNA is filed under the name Amphibalanus amphitrite. Its description in RNAcentral is "sRR1-like protein, transcript variant X4". Lineage: Eukaryota; Metazoa; Arthropoda; Thecostraca; Balanomorpha; Balanidae. The record is from RNAcentral.
GUGACAAAGACCUGGCCAGGAUUGGUCAGAAAAAUGGUUUUUGCUUCGCUACCGACCAAAAGCAGCAAUUCCAGAAUAGGAGUACCAACGGGCUUGAUUGCAUUGCGGUUCAACUGCGCGUUGACUGCGCGAGCAUACUGAUAUAUUCAGCUAGAGAUGCCACAAGUUGACAAGGAUGGCUUCAUUCUUGUUCGACACAAGAAUUCAAGUAGUGCUGCUGCUUCACUGGCUGCAAAAGGCAUUGCUCCACCUGUAGAUCUGAAGCCAGAGUCUAUUGAUCUUGCAGCAAUAAUACAAAAGGUGGAGCGGCUGCAGGAGCGCCUGGCCUCGUCCCAGUACCUAGCCAGUUUCCUCUCGGCUGUGGACGAGGGUCUGAGUCGGCAGCGGCGGCCGUCUGGAGGCGACGCUCCGCGCCCGCACAUCGUCUGCUACGGGCUGGGCCACGCGGCGAGCAGCCCGGCGCCGCAGCGGCAGCUGGCACUGCUGCUCCAGCUGCGCGAGCACCUCUCCGCGCCGUCAGUCGAGGUGUUCGACCCCGUCUUCUGGCCCGAGGAGAAGCAGCUGCUGCGCGAGCUGCGUCUGCACGUGCUGGAGACGGACGAGCAGUGCGCGCGGCGGCUGAGCGCGCCGGCCGUUCUCUACAUGCCGCACUGUGAGAACGCCCACUACGACAACCUGCUGCGGGCCAACUGGCACCCGGACCUGCUUCCCCGCCUGCUGCUGGUCGGUAACAGCUUGGCGUCAAUCGCGCUCCGGCUGCCUUCCAGCCAGCUGCGACUCGUGUCGUUCGUGGAGCGCGCCGCACCGCACGUCACGGAACGCUCCGAACGGAUUGCCGAGGCCGAUCUGCUUCCCGCCUUCAACGACACAGCCGUGCAGUGGUUCGAGGCGGGAGUGUUGCGCGCGCUGCCCGCGUACUUUUGGGACGAGGCGCCACAGGAGGCGUUCGUCCCGCCACAGGAGGGGGACUCGAGCGAUGACGGCAGGGGAAAGCCGCGCAGGAGGCGACGGAAAAAGUCGCGUAACCACAGCUAGCAUCGCCAGUGUUGGUUCUACCGGAAUUGAGGAUGUGUGCGAGGCUAACGGCUCGUGCUCGCCCGCCGCCGGGGACCGUGGCUCGGUGGGGAGCGCUGCAGUACGCUGUCGACUGCCGUGGCUGGCCGUAGCCGUAGCCGUGGCCGCUGCCGCUGCCGCUGUAGCUGUGCCGUGGUGGCGCAGCCAGAACCCGUCUCCUUGCGGCAGCGGAGAGUUUCGCCUGCCGGGAAUGUCAGCCUGUACACCGCUGCUCGGCUGUCCCGAGCUGGCCGAGGUCGAGAUCCUAGAGCAGGUCGGCCAGGGCAGCACUAAGAGCGUGUACCGCGGCCUGUGGCGGGGUCACCAGGUGGCUCUGGCGGCACUGGCCGAACCCUCCCUGCGAGCAGACUUCCACCACGGCCUGCAGAUGCUGCGCUCGCUCAGUCCCUCGGAGCACGUGGUACAGCUGGUCGGCUUCUGCGGGGAUGUGAUUGUGACUGAAUUUCACCGGCGAGGUGACGCCAGCGCGGCCGCAGACCUGGUGAGGACAGCCGGCGGCGCGACGGCCGCCCGCCUAGCACUGCGCCUGUGUCGCAGCUACGCGGAAGCUCUGGCGUUCCUGCAUAACUCGCCAGCGGGCCGACGUGUCAUGUGUGACUCGAAUGACCUCCAGAAGACGCUGCAGCAGUGGCUGCUGACCGCUGAUGACUGGCUGGUGGUCGCUGAUCUGGACGCACUGCCCGACGCUAGCGCCGGGCCCGUGCGCUGCGGACGGCGUCCCAUCGAAGGAGAGUUUGCUGCCCCAGAACAGAGGUGGCGCGACGGGCGUGAGCCGCCCGGCUACGACGAGAAGACUGACGUUUGGAAGCUGGCUGCAGUGUGUGAUCAUUUUCUGUCGGCGGCGCCUGAUGGCGAGUAUUUGAAACUUGAACUUCACGGGAUACACAAGAGAUGUCGCUCUGUCCCUGCGCGGCUGCGUCCAUCAGCCGCGGAAGUGGUGGAAGAGUAUGAUCGUGUUGUCCACGGAUUUAGCGAGUCAGAAUAUGUGUCACCGACACUAUGAUGGUGCCUGCUUUUUGACACAUUGUGAUAUCUAAAUAAUAAUGUAAAAGGAA